Peromyscus maniculatus bairdii (prairie deer mouse) is the source of this 1523-nucleotide non-coding RNA. NCBI's taxonomy places the organism in Eukaryota, Metazoa, Chordata, Mammalia, Rodentia, Cricetidae. The record is from RefSeq and is a predicted model, not a curated record.
ACGUGACCGGCCCCGCGCUGAGGCGUGGGGCUCCCACCUCCCGGCCGCUCGCUCGUUCCGGGUCCUCCUCCCGGUGCGGUGGGGAGGCCUGAGCGUCCCAGGGUCUCCUCAGAACGCACGGCCUGAGGGCGACUGUGAAGAGCCUCGGGGUUGGCUAGCCCCGGGGCUGCUCGCCCUGGGCCUUUGCUAGCCUGGCCUCCGCGUGCGUGCGCUGUGGCUGAGUGCUGGGGACACGGCCGCGUCUCCUCACGCCACGGGCGCGUGGGGACCUGGAGAUGCCAGAGGGGAGGACGGACACCUCAGCCCCGGAGCCACAGCCCCCCAGAGCGGCCAGAUGAGCCUGGUGGGGGAAGGGCGAGCCAUCAUGGCGGGCUAAGGGGGAAGGAGCCUUAGCACAAAUCCCGCCAUUUUAAGCCGAAGAGGCUCAGACAGGAAGAAGGCCUUAAAUGAGGUCACUGCUCGGACAAAGGCCAGUGGGUCUCGCCCCUACACUUCACCUGGCCUCGUCUAAGCCCGCCAGUAGACUUUUCCCACCUGACGGAUGGAAGCAGCUCUCAUCUGUGGCUUUGGGGCUGAUGGAGAGAGGAGGGCAAGGCUGGGAACCCCGGGAAGAAUGUGUUAAUAGCCAUCAACUUCGGGACAGUAAGCAGAAGACUCGCUAUAGUCACCUUUUUAUCUCCUACCACAGAUUCAUGGCAACGGGUAAAAGUAAUCAAACGUUCAAAAAAUGGGUUAGAAGGAGGUGAGAAAGAACCCCGGAGCGCAUCUGUGCAGUUCUAAUCUUUCCAUUUGAUAUUAACAUGCAAGGACUGACAUAACAUAAUGCCACAUCAUGGAUGACUUGAACAACAGAAAUUUAUUUUCCCACAGUUCUGGAGGCCAGAAGUCCAGGAUCAAGGUGACAACAGGUUUGUUUUCUUCUGGAGCCUCUCAUGGCCACCGCCAACUGUCCACAAAUAGCCUUUUCUCUGAUAAGUGUACAUGAAGCCUAGCCAGAGGAAGUGAAUCUAUGGGUGUUGGACUUCACUUCCUGUGCUGACUUGUCCUAUGGGUCUGUGGAGCAGCUUUGAGUGCUCCAGUGCUGUGCCUUUCCCACCAUGAUAGACUCUGCUCUCAAAAAGCAAACUGGGCUAAAGGACUCUGACCAAGAACUCUACAAAAGCAGGGCCUAAGAGAUUUCACAGAAGGGGCUCCCAGUGACUGCUUCCAAGGGCACCAUCAGAACCCCAACAGGGAAAGGCAAAGCUGUGGGAGGUAAGCAAAAGUCUGAACACUGAUUGGGGUACCAUAUAGCCACCAGCUGCUCCCAACUCUGUGGGGACACAGCAACUGAAUCUGGACAGUUGAUAGUCUCAGUCAAGAAAACAUGGCUGACUGGAUCUGUGAGCCCACAAGAGAAGAAUGGGACUGUGUUUAAAUGCAGCAGGAGCACAGACUGGACCUGGACCAAGACAGCAAAGCUGUGGUCAGCCAAGGAGAGGAAAGCAACAUUCAGGCUAGUAAUCUUAUAUUCCCACCCAGCU